UCCUCUCUUCGUAGGCUAAUGCAUUGGCCCUUUUUGACCCGUUUUGGGGCGAAAACAAAAACUGACUCCCGGGCAUAUUUUUUUCGGCCUUUAUGGGCAGAGAACUUUAAUACCGCUCGAAAUGAGGCCACCCAGUAGUUAGGUGUGAAUUUUCGAGACCUUUGGCACCGUUCUAAGAUGGGUCCUCUCUUCGUAGGCUAAUGCAUUGGCCCUUUUUGACCCGUUUUGGGGCGAAAACAAAAACUGACUCCCGGGCAUAUUUUUUUCGGCCUUUAUGGGCAGAGAACUUUAAUACCGCUCAAAAUGAGGCCACCCAGUAGUUAGGUGUGAAUUUUCGAGACCUUUGGCACCGUUCUAAGAUGGGUCCUCUCUUCGUAGGCUAAUGCAUUGGCCCUUUUUGACCCGUUUUGGGGCGAAAACAAAAACUGACUCCCGGGCAUAUUUUUUUCGGCCUUUAUGGGCAGAGAACUUUAAUGCCGCUCGGAAUGAGGCCACCCAGUAGUUAGGUGUGAAUUUUCGAGACCUUUGGCACCGUUCUAAGAUGGGUCCUCUCUUCGUAGGCUAAUGCAUUGGCCCUUUUUGACCCGUUUUGGGGCGAAAACAAAAACUGACUCCCGGGCAUAUUUUUUUUCGGCCUUUAUGGGCAGAGAACUUUAAUGCCGCUCGGAAUGAGGCCACCCAGUAGUUAGGUGUGAAUUUUCGAGACCUUUGGCACCGUUCUAAGAUGGGUCCUCUCUUCGUAGGCUAAUGCAUUGGCCCUUUUUGACCCGUUUUGGGGCGAAAACAAAAACUGACUCCCGGGCAUAUUUUUUUCGGCCUUUAUGGGCAGAGAACUUUAAUGCCGCUCAGAAUGAGGCCACCCAGUAGUUAGGUGUGAAUUUUCGAGACCUUUGGCACCGUUCUAAGAUGGGUCCUCUCUUCGUAGGCUAAUGCAUUGGCCCUUUUUGACCCGUUUUGGGGCGAAAACAAAAACUGACUCCCGGGCAUAUUUUUUUUCGGCCUUUAUGGGCAGAGAACUUUAAUGCCGCUCAGAAUGAGGCCACCCAGUAGUUAGGUGUGAAUUUUCGAGACCUUUGGCACCGUUCUAAGAUGGGUCCUCUCUUCGUAGGCUAAUGCAUUGGCCCUUUUUGACCCGUUUUGGGGCGAAAACAAAAACUGACUCCCGGGCAUAUUUUUUUCGGCCUUUAUGGGCAGAGAACUUUAAUGCCGCUCGGAAUGAGGCCACCCAGUAGUUAGGUGUGAAUUUUCGAGACCUUUGGCACCGUUCUAAGAUGGGUCCUCUCUUCGUAGGCUAAUGCAUUGGCCCUUUUUGACCCGUUUUGGGGCGAAAACAAAAACUGACUCCCGGGCAUAUUUUUUUCGGCCUUUAUGGGCAGAGAACUUUAAUGCCGCUCGGAAUGAGGCCACCCAGUAGUUAGGUGUGAAUUUUCGAGACCUUUGGCACCGUUCUAAGAUGGGUCCUCUCUUCGUAGGCUAAUGCAUUGGCCCUUUUUUGACCCGUUUUGGGGCGAAAACAAAAACUGACUCCCGGGCAUAUUUUUUUCGGCCUUUAUGGGCAGAGAACUUUAAUGCCGCUCAGAAUGAGGCCACCCAGUAGUUAGGUGUGAAUUUUCGAGACCUUUGGCACCGUUCUAAGAUGGGUCCUCUCUUCGUAGGCUAAUGCAUUGGCCCUUUUUGACCCGUUUUGGGGCGAAAACAAAAACUGACUCCCGGGCAUAUUUUUUUCGGCCUUUAUGGGCAGAGAACUUUAAUGCCGCUCAGAAUGAGGCCACCCAGUAGUUAGGUGUGAAUUUUCGAGACCUUUGGCACCGUUCUAAGAUGGGUCCUCUCUUCGUAGGCUAAUGCAUUGGCCCUUUUUGACCCGUUUUGGGGCGAAAACAAAAACUGACUCCCGGGCAUAUUUUUUUCGGCCUUUAUGGGCAGAGAACUUUAAUGCCGCUCAGAAUGAGGCCACCCAGUAGUUAGGUGUGAAUUUUCGAGACCUUUGGCACCGUUCUAAGAUGGGUCCUCUCUUCGUAGGCUAAUGCAUUGGCCCUUUUUGACCCGUUUUGGGGCGAAAACAAAAACUGACUCCCGGGCAUAUUUUUUUCGGCCUUUAUGGGCAGAGAACUUUAAUGCCGCUCAGAAUGAGGCCACCCAGUAGUUAGGUGUGAAUUUUCGAGACCUUUGGCACCGUUCUAAGAUGGGUCCUCUCUUCGUAGGCUAAUGCAUUGGCCCUUUUUGACCCGUUUUGGGGCGAAAACAAAAACUGACUCCCGGGCAUAUUUUUUUUCGGCCUUUAUGGGCAGAGAACUUUAAUGCCGCUCAGAAUGAGGCCACCCAGUAGUUAGGUGUGAAUUUUCGAGACCUUUGGCACCGUUCUAAGAUGGGUCCUCUCUUCGUAGGCUAAUGCAUUGGCCCUUUUUGACCCGUUUUGGGGCGAAAACAAAAACUGACUCCCGGGCAUAUUUUUUUCGGCCUUUAUGGGCAGAGAACUUUAAUGCCGCUCAGAAUGAGGCCACCCAGUAGUUAGGUGUGAAUUUUCGAGACCUCUGGCACCGUUCUAAGAUGGGUCCUCUCUUCGUAGGCUAAUGCAUUGGCCCUUUUUGACCCGUUUUGGGGCGAAAACAAAAACUGACUCCCGGGCAUAUUUUUUUCGGCCUUUAUGGGCAGAGAACUUUAAUGCCGCUCAGAAUGAGGCCACCCAGUAGUUAGGUGUGAAUUUUCGAGACCUCUGGCACCGUUCUAAGAUGGGUCCUCUCUUCGUAGGCUAAUGCAUUGGCCCUUUUUGACCCGUUUUGGGGCGAAAACAAAAACUGACUCCCGGGCAUAUUUUUUUCGGCCUUUAUGGGCAGAGAACUUUAAUGCCGCUCAGAAUGAGGCCACCCAGUAGUUAGGUGUGAAUUUUCGAGACCUCUGGCACCGUUCUAAGAUGGGUCCUCUCUUCGUAGGCUAAUGCAUUGGCCCUUUUUGACCCGUUUUGGGGCGAAAACAAAAACUGACUCCCGGGCAUAUUUUUUUCGGCCUUUAUGGGCAGAGAACUUUAAUGCCGCUCAGAAUGAGGCCACCCAGUAGUUAGGUGUGAAUUUUCGAGACCUCUGGCACCGUUCUAAGAUGGGUCCUCUCUUCGUAGGCUAAUGCAUUGGCCCUUUUUGACCCGUUUUGGGGCGAAAACAAAAACUGACUCCCGGGCAUAUUUUUUUCGGCCUUUAUGGGCAGAGAACUUUAAUGCCGCUCAGAAUGAGGCCACCCAGUAGUUAGGUGUGAAUUUUCGAGACCUCUGGCACCGUUCUAAGAUGGGUCCUCUCUUCGUAGGCUAAUGCAUUGGCCCUUUUUGACCCGUUUUGGGGCGAAAACAAAAACUGACUCCCGGGCAUAUUUUUUUCGGCCUUUAUGGGCAGAGAACUUUAAUGCCGCUCAGAAUGAGGCCACCCAGUAGUUAGGUGUGAAUUUUCGAGACCUCUGGCACCGUUCUAAGAUGGGUCCUCUCUUCGUAGGCUAAUGCAUUGGCCCUUUUUGACCCGUUUUGGGGCGAAAACAAAAACUGACUCCCGGGCAUAUUUUUUUCGGCCUUUAUGGGCAGAGAACUUUAAUGCCGCUCAGAAUGAGGCCACCCAGUAGUUAGGUGUGAAUUUUCGAGACCUCUGGCACCGUUCUAAGAUGGGUCCUCUCUUCGUAGGCUAAUGCAUUGGCCCUUUUUGACCCGUUUUGGGGCGAAAACAAAAACUGACUCCCGGGCAUAUUUUUUUCGGCCUUUAUGGGCAGAGAACUUUAAUGCCGCUCAGAAUGAGGCCACCCAGUAGUUAGGUGUGAAUUUUCGAGACCUCUGGCACCGUUCUAAGAUGGGUCCUCUCUUCGUAGGCUAAUGCAUUGGCCCUUUUUGACCCGUUUUGGGGCGAAAACAAAAACUGACUCCCGGGCAUAUUUUUUUCGGCCUUUAUGGGCAGAGAACUUUAAUGCCGCUCAGAAUGAGGCCACCCAGUAGUUAGGUGUGAAUUUUCGAGACCUCUGGCACCGUUCUAAGAUGGGUCCUCUCUUCGUAGGCUAAUGCAUUGGCCCUUUUUGACCCGUUUUGGGGCGAAAACAAAAACUGACUCCCGGGCAUAUUUUUUUCGGCCUUUUAUGGGCAGAGAACUUUAAUGCCGCUCAGAAUGAGGCCACCCAGUAGUUAGGUGUGAAUUUUCGAGACCUCUGGCACCGUUCUAAGAUGGGUCCUCUCUUCGUAGGCUAAUGCAUUGGCCCUUUUUGACCCGUUUUGGGGCGAAAACAAAAACUGACUCCCGGGCAUAUUUUUUUCGGCCUUUAUGGGCAGAGAACUUUAAUGCCGCUCAGAAUGAGGCCACCCAGUAGUUAGGUGUGAAUUUUCGAGACCUCUGGCACCGUUCUAAGAUGGGUCCUCUCUUCGUAGGCUAAUGCAUUGGCCCUUUUUGACCCGUUUUGGGGCGAAAACAAAAACUGACUCCCGGGCAUAUUUUUUUCGGCCUUUAUGGGCAGAGAACUUUAAUGCCGCUCAGAAUGAGGCCACCCAGUAGUUAGGUGUGAAUUUUCGAGACCUCUGGCACCGUUCUAAGAUGGGUCCUCUCUUCGUAGGCUAAUGCAUUGGCCCUUUUUGACCCGUUUUGGGGCGAAAACAAAAACUGACUCCCGGGCAUAUUUUUUUCGGCCUUUAUGGGCAGAGAACUUUAAUGCCGCUCAGAAUGAGGCCACCCAGUAGUUAGGUGUGAAUUUUCGAGACCUCUGGCACCGUUCUAAGAUGGGUCCUCUCUUCGUAGGCUAAUGCAUUGGCCCUUUUUGACCCGUUUUGGGGCGAAAACAAAAACUGACUCCCGGGCAUAUUUUUUUCGGCCUUUAUGGGCAGAGAACUUUAAUGCCGCUCAGAAUGAGGCCACCCAGUAGUUAGGUGUGAAUUUUCGAGACCUCUGGCACCGUUCUAAGAUGGGUCCUCUCUUCGUAGGCUAAUGCAUUGGCCCUUUUUGACCCGUUUUGGGGCGAAAAAAAAAAACUGACUCCCGGGCAUAUUUUUUUCGGCCUUUAUGGGCAGAGAACUUUAAUGCCGCUCAGAAUGAGGCCACCCAGUAGUUAGGUGUGAAUUUUCGAGACCUCUGGCACCGUUCUAAGAUGGGUCCUCUCUUCGUAGGCUAAUGCAUUGGCCCUUUUUGACCCGUUUUGGGGCGAAAACAAAAACUGACUCCCGGGCAUAUUUUUUUCGGCCUUUAUGGGCAGAGAACUUUAAUGCCGCUCAGAAUGAGGCCACCCAGUAGUUAGGUGUGAAUUUUCGAGACCUCUGGCACCGUUCUAAGAUGGGUCCUCUCUUCGUAGGCUAAUGCAUUGGCCCUUUUUGACCCGUUUUGGGGCGAAAACAAAAACUGACUCCCGGGCAUAUUUUUUUCGGCCUUUAUGGGCAGAGAACUUUAAUGCCGCUCAGAAUGAGGCCACCCAGUAGUUAGGUGUGAAUUUUCGAGACCUCUGGCACCGUUCUAAGAUGGGUCCUCUCUUCGUAGGCUAAUGCAUUGGCCCUUUUUGACCCGUUUUGGGGCGAAAACAAAAACUGACUCCCGGGCAUAUUUUUUUCGGCCUUUAUGGGCAGAGAACUUUAAUGCCGCUCAGAAUGAGGCCACCCAGUAGUUAGGUGUGAAUUUUCGAGACCUCUGGCACCGUUCUAAGAUGGGUCCUCUCUUCGUAGGCUAAUGCAUUGGCCCUUUUUGACCCGUUUUGGGGCGAAAACAAAAACUGACUCCCGGGCAUAUUUUUUUCGGCCUUUAUGGGCAGAGAACUUUAAUGCCGCUCAGAAUGAGGCCACCCAGUAGUUAGGUGUGAAUUUUCGAGACCUCUGGCACCGUUCUAAGAUGGGUCCUCUCUUCGUAGGCUAAUGCAUUGGCCCUUUUUGACCCGUUUUGGGGCGAAAACAAAAACUGACUCCCGGGCAUAUUUUUUUCGGCCUUUAUGGGCAGAGAACUUUAAUGCCGCUCAGAAUGAGGCCACCCAGUAGUUAGGUGUGAAUUUUCGAGACCUCUGGCACCGUUCUAAGAUGGGUCCUCUCUUCGUAGGCUAAUGCAUUGGCCCUUUUUGACCCGUUUUGGGGCGAAAACAAAAACUGACUCCCGGGCAUAUUUUUUUCGGCCUUUAUGGGCAGAGAACUUUAAUACCGCUCAGAAUGAGGCCACCCAGUAGUUAGGUGUGAAUUUUCGAGACCUCUGGCACCGUUCUAAGAUGGGUCCUCUCUUCGUAGGCUAAUGCAUUGGCCCUUUUUGACCCGUUUUGGGGCGAAAACAAAAACUGACUCCCGGGCAUAUUUUUUUCGGCCUUUAUGGGCAGAGAACUUUAAUGCCGCUCAGAAUGAGGCCACCCAGUAGUUAGGUGUGAAUUUUCGAGACCUCUGGCACCGUUCUAAGAUGGGUCCUCUCUUCGUAGGCUAAUGCAUUGGCCCUUUUUGACCCGUUUUGGGGCGAAAACAAAAACUGACUCCCGGGCAUAUUUUUUUCGGCCUUUAUGGGCAGAGAACUUUAAUACCGCUCAGAAUGAGGCCACCCAGUAGUUAGGUGUGAAUUUUCGAGACCUCUGGCACCGUUCUAAGAUGGGUCCUCUCUUCGUAGGCUAAUGCAUUGGCCCUUUUUGACCCGUUUUGGGGCGAAAACAAAAACUGACUCCCGGGCAUAUUUUUUUCGGCCUUUAUGGGCAGAGAACUUUAAUACCGCUCAGAAUGAGGCCACCCAGUAGUUAGGUGUGAAUUUUCGAGACCUCUGGCACCGUUCUAAGAUGGGUCCUCUCUUCGUAGGCUAAUGCAUUGGCCCUUUUUGACCCGUUUUGGGGCGAAAACAAAAACUGACUCCCGGGCAUAUUUUUUUCGGCCUUUAUGGGCAGAGAACUUUAAUACCGCUCAGAAUGAGGCCACCCAGUAGUUAGGUGUGAAUUUUCGAGACCUCUGGCACCGUUCUAAGAUGGGUCCUCUCUUCGUAGGCUAAUGCAUUGGCCCUUUUUGACCCGUUUUGGGGCGAAAACAAAAACUGACUCCCGGGCAUAUUUUUUUCGGCCUUUAUGGGCAGAGAACUUUAAUACCGCUCAGAAUGAGGCCACCCAGUAGUUAGGUGUGAAUUUUCGAGACCUCUGGCACCGUUCUAAGAUGGGUCCUCUCUUCGUAGGCUAAUGCAUUGGCCCUUUUUGACCCGUUUUGGGGCGAAAACAAAAACUGACUCCCGGGCAUAUUUUUUUCGGCCUUUAUGGGCAGAGAACUUUAAUGCCGCUCAGAAUGAGGCCACCCAGUAGUUAGGUGUGAAUUUUCGAGACCUCUGGCACCGUUCUAAGAUGGGUCCUCUCUUCGUAGGCUAAUGCAUUGGCCCUUUUUGACCCGUUUUGGGGCGAAAACAAAAACUGACUCCCGGGCAUAUUUUUUUCGGCCUUUAUGGGCAGAGAACUUUAAUACCGCUCAGAAUGAGGCCACCCAGUAGUUAGGUGUGAAUUUUCGAGACCUCUGGCACCGUUCUAAGAUGGGUCCUCUCUUCGUAGGCUAAUGCAUUGGCCCUUUUUGACCCGUUUUGGGGCGAAAACAAAAACUGACUCCCGGGCAUAUUUUUUUCGGCCUUUAUGGGCAGAGAACUUUAAUGCCGCUCAGAAUGAGGCCACCCAGUAGUUAGGUGUGAAUUUUCGAGACCUCUGGCACCGUUCUAAGAUGGGUCCUCUCUUCGUAGGCUAAUGCAUUGGCCCUUUUUGACCCGUUUUGGGGCGAAAACAAAAACUGACUCCCGGGCAUAUUUUUUUCGGCCUUUAUGGGCAGAGAACUUUAAUGCCGCUCAGAAUGAGGCCACCCAGUAGUUAGGUGUGAAUUUUCGAGACCUCUGGCACCGUUCUAAGAUGGGUCCUCUCUUCGUAGGCUAAUGCAUUGGCCCUUUUUGACCCGUUUUGGGGCGAAAACAAAAACUGACUCCCGGGCAUAUUUUUUUCGGCCUUUAUGGGCAGAGAACUUUAAUACCGCUCAGAAUGAGGCCACCCAGUAGUUAGGUGUGAAUUUUCGAGACCUCUGGCACCGUUCUAAGAUGGGUCCUCUCUUCGUAGGCUAAUGCAUUGGCCCUUUUUGACCCGUUUUGGGGCGAAAACAAAAACUGACUCCCGGGCAUAUUUUUUUCGGCCUUUAUGGGCAGAGAACUUUAAUGCCGCUCAGAAUGAGGCCACCCAGUAGUUAGGUGUGAAUUUUCGAGACCUCUGGCACCGUUCUAAGAUGGGUCCUCUCUUCGUAGGCUAAUGCAUUGGCCCUUUUUGACCCGUUUUGGGGCGAAAACAAAAACUGACUCCCGGGCAUAUUUUUUUCGGCCUUUAUGGGCAGAGAACUUUAAUGCCGCUCAGAAUGAGGCCACCCAGUAGUUAGGUGUGAAUUUUCGAGACCUCUGGCACCGUUCUAAGAUGGGUCCUCUCUUCGUAGGCUAAUGCAUUGGCCCUUUUUGACCCGUUUUGGGGCGAAAACAAAAACUGACUCCCGGGCAUAUUUUUUUCGGCCUUUAUGGGCAGAGAACUUUAAUGCCGCUCAGAAUGAGGCCACCCAGUAGUUAGGUGUGAAUUUUCGAGACCUCUGGCACCGUUCUAAGAUGGGUCCUCUCUUCGUAGGCUAAUGCAUUGGCCCUUUUUGACCCGUUUUGGGGCGAAAACAAAAACUGACUCCCGGGCAUAUUUUUUUCGGCCUUUAUGGGCAGAGAACUUUAAUGCCGCUCAGAAUGAGGCCACCCAGUAGUUAGGUGUGAAUUUUCGAGACCUCUGGCACCGUUCUAAGAUGGGUCCUCUCUUCGUAGGCUAAUGCAUUGGCCCUUUUUGACCCGUUUUGGGGCGAAAACAAAAACUGACUCCCGGGCAUAUUUUUUUCGGCCUUUAUGGGCAGAGAACUUUAAUGCCGCUCAGAAUGAGGCCACCCAGUAGUUAGGUGUGAAUUUUCGAGACCUCUGGCACCGUUCUAAGAUGGGUCCUCUCUUCGUAGGCUAAUGCAUUGGCCCUUUUUGACCCGUUUUGGGGCGAAAACAAAAACUGACUCCCGGGCAUAUUUUUUUCGGCCUUUAUGGGCAGAGAACUUUAAUGCCGCUCAGAAUGAGGCCACCCAGUAGUUAGGUGUGAAUUUUCGAGACCUCUGGCACCGUUCUAAGAUGGGUCCUCUCUUCGUAGGCUAAUGCAUUGGCCCUUUUUGACCCGUUUUGGGGCGAAAACAAAAACUGACUCCCGGGCAUAUUUUUUUCGGCCUUUAUGGGCAGAGAACUUUAAUGCCGCUCAGAAUGAGGCCACCCAGUAGUUAGGUGUGAAUUUUCGAGACCUCUGGCACCGUUCUAAGAUGGGUCCUCUCUUCGUAGGCUAAUGCAUUGGCCCUUUUUGACCCGUUUUGGGGCGAAAACAAAAACUGACUCCCGGGCAUAUUUUUUUCGGCCUUUAUGGGCAGAGAACUUUAAUGCCGCUCAGAAUGAGGCCACCCAGUAGUUAGGUGUGAAUUUUCGAGACCUCUGGCACCGUUCUAAGAUGGGUCCUCUCUUCGUAGGCUAAUGCAUUGGCCCUUUUUGACCCGUUUUGGGGCGAAAACAAAAACUGACUCCCGGGCAUAUUUUUUUCGGCCUUUAUGGGCAGAGAACUUUAAUGCCGCUCAGAAUGAGGCCACCCAGUAGUUAGGUGUGAAUUUUCGAGACCUCUGGCACCGUUCUAAGAUGGGUCCUCUCUUCGUAGGCUAAUGCAUUGGCCCUUUUUGACCCGUUUUGGGGCGAAAACAAAAACUGACUCCCGGGCAUAUUUUUUUCGGCCUUUAUGGGCAGAGAACUUUAAUGCCGCUCAGAAUGAGGCCACCCAGUAGUUAGGUGUGAAUUUUCGAGACCUCUGGCACCGUUCUAAGAUGGGUCCUCUCUUCGUAGGCUAAUGCAUUGGCCCUUUUUGACCCGUUUUGGGGCGAAAACAAAAACUGACUCCCGGGCAUAUUUUUUUCGGCCUUUAUGGGCAGAGAACUUUAAUGCCGCUCAGAAUGAGGCCACCCAGUAGUUAGGUGUGAAUUUUCGAGACCUCUGGCACCGUUCUAAGAUGGGUCCUCUCUUCGUAGGCUAAUGCAUUGGCCCUUUUUGACCCGUUUUGGGGCGAAAACAAAAACUGACUCCCGGGCAUAUUUUUUUCGGCCUUUAUGGGCAGAGAACUUUAAUACCGCUCAGAAUGAGGCCACCCAGUAGUUAGGUGUGAAUUUUCGAGACCUCUGGCACCGUUCUAAGAUGGGUCCUCUCUUCGUAGGCUAAUGCAUUGGCCCUUUUUGACCCGUUUUGGGGCGAAAACAAAAACUGACUCCCGGGCAUAUUUUUUUCGGCCUUUAUGGGCAGAGAACUUUAAUGCCGCUCAGAAUGAGGCCACCCAGUAGUUAGGUGUGAAUUUUCGAGACCUCUGGCACCGUUCUAAGAUGGGUCCUCUCUUCGUAGGCUAAUGCAUUGGCCCUUUUUGACCCGUUUUGGGGCGAAAACAAAAACUGACUCCCGGGCAUAUUUUUUUCGGCCUUUAUGGGCAGAGAACUUUAAUACCGCUCAGAAUGAGGCCACCCAGUAGUUAGGUGUGAAUUUUCGAGACCUCUGGCACCGUUCUAAGAUGGGUCCUCUCUUCGUAGGCUAAUGCAUUGGCCCUUUUUGACCCGUUUUGGGGCGAAAACAAAAACUGACUCCCGGGCAUAUUUUUUUCGGCCUUUAUGGGCAGAGAACUUUAAUGCCGCUCAGAAUGAGGCCACCCAGUAGUUAGGUGUGAAUUUUCGAGACCUCUGGCACCGUUCUAAGAUGGGUCCUCUCUUCGUAGGCUAAUGCAUUGGCCCUUUUUGACCCGUUUUGGGGCGAAAACAAAAACUGACUCCCGGGCAUAUUUUUUUCGGCCUUUAUGGGCAGAGAACUUUAAUGCCGCUCAGAAUGAGGCCACCCAGUAGUUAGGUGUGAAUUUUCGAGACCUCUGGCACCGUUCUAAGAUGGGUCCUCUCUUCGUAGGGCUAAUGCAUUGGCCCUUUUUGACCCGUUUUGGGGCGAAAACAAAAACUGACUCCCGGGCAUAUUUUUUUCGGCCUUUAUGGGCAGAGAACUUUAAUACCGCUCAGAAUGAGGCCACCCAGUAGUUAGGUGUGAAUUUUCGAGACCUCUGGCACCGUUCUAAGAUGGGUCCUCUCUUCGUAGGCUAAUGCAUUGGCCCUUUUUGACCCGUUUUGGGGCGAAAACAAAAACUGACUCCCGGGCAUAUUUUUUUCGGCCUUUAUGGGCAGAGAACUUUAAUGCCGCUCAGAAUGAGGCCACCCAGUAGUUAGGUGUGAAUUUUCGAGACCUCUGGCACCGUUCUAAGAUGGGUCCUCUCUUCGUAGGCUAAUGCAUUGGCCCUUUUUGACCCGUUUUGGGGCGAAAACCAAAAACUGACUCCCGGGCAUAUUUUUUUCGGCCUUUAUGGGCAGAGAACUUUAAUACCGCUCAGAAUGAGGCCACCACCCAGUAGUUAGGUGUGAAUUUUCGAGACCUCUGGCACCGUUCUAAGAUGGGUCCUCUCUUCGUAGGCUAAUGCAUUGGCCCUUUUUGACCCGUUUUGGGGCGAAAACAAAAACUGACUCCCGGGCAUAUUUUUUUCGGCCUUUAUGGGCAGAGAAACUUUAAUGCCGCUCAGAAUGAGGCCACCCAGUAGUUAGGUGUGAAUUUUCGAGACCUCUGGCACCGUUCUAAGAUGGGUCCUCUCUUCGUAGGCUAAUGCAUUGGCCCUUUUUGACCCGUUUUGGGGCGAAAACAAAAACUGACUCCCGGGCAUAUUUUUUUCGGCCUUUAUGGGCAGAGAACUUUAAUACCGCUCAGAAUGAGGCCACCCAGUAGUUAGGUGUGAAUUUUCGAGACCUCUGGCACCGUUCUAAGAUGGGUCCUCUCUUCGUAGGCUAAUGCAUUGGCCCUUUUUGACCCGUUUUGGGGCGAAAACAAAAACUGACUCCCGGGCAUAUUUUUUUCGGCCUUUAUGGGCAAAGAACUUUAAUGCCGCUCAGAAUGAGGCCACCCAGUAGUUAGGUGUGAAUUUUCGAGACCUCUGGCACCGUUCUAAGAUGGGUCCUCUCUUCGUAGGCUAAUGCAUUGGCCCUUUUUGACCCGUUUUGGGGCGAAAAACAAAAACUGACUCCCGGGCAUAUUUUUUUCGGCCUUUAUGGGCAAAGAACUUUAAUGCCGCUCAGAAUGAGGCCACCCAGUAGUUAGGUGUGAAUUUUCGAGACCUCUGGCACCGUUCUAAGAUGGGUCCUCUCUUCGUAGGCUAAUGCAUUGGCCCUUUUUGACCCGUUUUGGGGCGAAAACAAAAAACUGACUCCCGGGCAUAUUUUUUUCGGCCUUUAUGGGCAGAGAACUUUAAUGCCGCUCAGAAUGAGGCCACCCAGUAGUUAGGUGUGAAUUUUCGAGACCUCUGGCACCGUUCUAAGAUGGGUCCUCUCUUCGUAGGCUAAUGCAUUGGCCCUUUUUGACCCGUUUUGGGGCGAAAACAAAAACUGACUCCCGGGCAUAUUUUUUUCGGCCUUUAUGGGCAGAGAACUUUAAUACCGCUCAGAAUGAGGCCACCCAGUAGUUAGGUGUGAAUUUUCGAGACCUCUGGCACCGUUCUAAGAUGGGUCCUCUCUUCGUAGGCUAAUGCAUUGGCCCUUUUUGACCCGUUUUGGGGCGAAAACAAAAACUGACUCCCGGGCAUAUUUUUUUCGGCCUUUAUGGGCAGAGAACUUUAAUACCGCUCAGAAUGAGGCCACCCAGUAGUUAGGUGUGAAUUUUCGAGACCCUCUGGCACCGUUCUAAGAUGGGUCCUCUCUUCGUAGGCUAAUGCAUUGGCCCUUUUUGACCCGUUUUGGGGCGAAAACAAAAACUGACUCCCGGGCAUAUUUUUUUCGGCCUUUAUGGGCAGAGAACUUUAAUACCGCUCAGAAUGAGGCCACCCAGUAGUUAGGUGUGAAUUUUCGAGACCUCUUGGCACCGUUCUAAGAUGGGUCCUCUCUUCGUAGGCUAAUGCAUUGGCCCUUUUUGACCCGUUUUGGGGCGAAAACAAAAACUGACUCCCGGGCAUAUUUUUUUCGGCCUUUAUGGGCAGAGAACUUUAAUGCCGCUCAGAAUGAGGCCACCCAGUAGUUAGGUGUGAAUUUUCGAGACCUCUGGCACCGUUCUAAGAUGGGUCCUCUCUUCGUAGGCUAAUGCAUUGGCCCUUUUUGACCCGUUUUGGGGCGAAAACAAAAACUGACUCCCGGGCAUAUUUUUUUCGGCCUUUAUGGGCAGAGAACUUUAAUACCGCUCAAAAAUGAGGCCACCCAGUAGUUAGGUGUGAAUUUUCGAGACCUCUGGCACCGUUCUAAGAUGGGUCCUCUCUUCGUAGGCUAAUGCAUUGGCCCUUUUUGACCCGUUUUGGGGCGAAAACAAAAACUGACUCCCGGGCAUAUUUUUUUCGGCCUUUAUGGGCAGAGAACUUUAAUACCGCUCAGAAUGAGGCCACCCAGUAGUUAGGUGUGAAUUUUCGAGACCUUUGGCACCGUUCUAAGAUGGGUCCUCUCUUCGUAGGCUAAUGCAUUGGCCCUUUUUGACCCGUUUUGGGGCGAAAACAAAAACUGACUCCCGGGCAUAUUUUUUUCGGCCUUUAUGGGCAGAGAACUUUAAUGCCGCUCAGAAUGAGGCCACCCAGUAGUUAGGUGUGAAUUUUCGAGACCUCUGGCACCGUUCUAAGAUGGGUCCUCUCUUCGUAGGCUAAUGCAUUGGCCCUUUUUGACCCGUUUUGGGGCGAAAACAAAAACUGACUCCCGGGCAUAUUUUUUUCGGCCUUUAUGGGCAGAGAACUUUAAUGCCGCUCAGAAUGAGGCCACCCAGUAGUUAGGUGUGAAUUUUCGAGACCUCUGGCACCGUUCUAAGAUGGGUCCUCUCUUCGUAGGCUAAUGCAUUGGCCCUUUUUGACCCGUUUUGGGGCGAAAACAAAAACUGACUCCCGGGCAUAUUUUUUUCGGCCUUUAUGGGCAGAGAACUUUAAUACCGCUCAGAAUGAGGCCACCCAGUAGUUAGGUGUGAAUUUUCGAGACCUCUGGCACCGUUCUAAGAUGGGUCCUCUCUUCGUAGGCUAAUGCAUUGGCCCUUUUUGACCCGUUUUGGGGCGAAAACAAAAACUGACUCCCGGGCAUAUUUUUUUCGGCCUUUAUGGGCAGAGAACUUUAAUACCGCUCAGAAUGAGGCCACCCAGUAGUUAGGUGUGAAUUUUCGAGACCUCUGGCACCGUUCUAAGAUGGGUCCUCUCUUCGUAGGCUAAUGCAUUGGCCCUUUUUGACCCGUUUUGGGGCGAAAACAAAAACUGACUCCCGGGCAUAUUUUUUUCGGCCUUUAUGGGCAGAGAACUUUAAUACCGCUCAGAAUGAGGCCACCCAGUAGUUAGGUGUGAAUUUUCGAGACCUUCUGGCACCGUUCUAAGAUGGGUCCUCUCUUCGUAGGCUAAUGCAUUGGCCCUUUUUGACCCGUUUUGGGGCGAAAACAAAAACUGACUCCCGGGCAUAUUUUUUUCGGCCUUUAUGGGCAGAGAACUUUAAUGCCGCUCAGAAUGAGGCCACCCAGUAGUUAGGUGUGAAUUUUCGAGACCUCUGGCACCGUUCUAAGAUGGGUCCUCUCUUCGUAGGCUAAUGCAUUGGCCCUUUUUGACCCGUUUUGGGGCGAAAACAAAAACUGACUCCCGGGCAUAUUUUUUUCGGCCUUUAUGGGCAGAGAACUUUAAUACCGCUCAGAAUGAGGCCACCCAGUAGUUAGGUGUGAAUUUUCGAGACCUCUGGCACCGUUCUAAGAUGGGUCCUCUCUUCGUAGGCUAAUGCAUUGGCCCUUUUUGACCCGUUUUGGGGCGAAAACAAAAACUGACUCCCGGGCAUAUUUUUUUCGGCCUUUAUGGGCAGAGAACUUUAAUACCGCUCAGAAUGAGGCCACCCAGUAGUUAGGUGUGAAUUUUCGAGACCUCUGGCACCGUUCUAAGAUGGGUCCUCUCUUCGUAGGCUAAUGCAUUGGCCCUUUUUGACCCGUUUUGGGGCGAAAACAAAAACUGACUCCCGGGCAUAUUUUUUUCGGCCUUUAUGGGCAGAGAACUUUAAUGCCGCUCAGAAUGAGGCCACCCAGUAGUUAGGUGUGAAUUUUCGAGACCUCUGGCACCGUUCUAAGAUGGGUCCUCUCUUCGUAGGCUAAUGCAUUGGCCCUUUUUGACCCGUUUUGGGGCGAAAACAAAAACUGACUCCCGGGCAUAUUUUUUUCGGCCUUUAUGGGCAGAGAACUUUAAUACCGCUCAGAAAUGAGGCCACCCAGUAGUUAGGUGUGAAUUUUCGAGACCUCUGGCACCGUUCUAAGAUGGGUCCUCUCUUCGUAGGCUAAUGCAUUGGCCCUUUUUGACCCGUUUUGGGGCGAAAACAAAAACUGACUCCCGGGCAUAUUUUUUUCGGCCUUUAUGGGCAGAGAACUUUAAUACCGCUCAGAAUGAGGCCACCCAGUAGUUAGGUGUGAAUUUUCGAGACCUCUCGGCACCGUUCUAAGAUGGGUCCUCUCUUCGUAGGCUAAUGCAUUGGCCCUUUUUGACCCGUUUUGGGGCGAAAACAAAAACUGACUCCCGGGCAUAUUUUUUUCGGCCUUUAUGGGCAGAGAACUUUAAUGCCGCUCAGAAAUGAGGCCACCCAGUAGUUAGGUGUGAAUUUUCGAGACCUCUGGCACCGUUCUAAGAUGGGUCCUCUCUUCGUAGGCUAAUGCAUUGGCCCUUUUUGACCCGUUUUGGGGCGAAAACAAAAACUGACUCCCGGGCAUAUUUUUUUCGGCCUUUAUGGGCAGAGAACUUUAAUACCGCUCAGAAUGAGGCCACCCAGUAGUUAGGUGUGAAUUUUCGAGACCUCUGGCACCGUUCUAAGAUGGGUCCUCUCUUCGUAGGCUAAUGCAUUGGCCCUUUUUGACCCGUUUUGGGGCGAAAACAAAAACUGACUCCCGGGCAUAUUUUUUUCGGCCUUUAUGGGCAGAGAACUUUAAUACCGCUCAGAAUGAGGCCACCCAGUAGUUAGGUGUGAAUUUUCGAGACCUCUUGGCACCGUUCUAAGAUGGGUCCUCUCUUCGUAGGCUAAUGCAUUGGCCCUUUUUGACCCGUUUUGGGGCGAAAACAAAAACUGACUCCCGGGCAUAUUUUUUUCGGCCUUUAUGGGCAGAGAACUUUAAUGCCGCUCAGAAUGAGGCCACCCAGUAGUUAGGUGUGAAUUUUCGAGACCUCUGGCACCGUUCUAAGAUGGGUCCUCUCUUCGUAGGCUAAUGCAUUGGCCCUUUUUGACCCGUUUUGGGGCGAAAACAAAAACUGACUCCCGGGCAUAUUUUUUUCGGCCUUUAUGGGCAGAGAACUUUAAUGCCGCUCAGAAUGAGGCCACCCAGUAGUUAGGUGUGAAUUUUCGAGACCUUUGGCACCGUUCUAAGAUGGGUCCUCUCUUCGUAGGCUAAUGCAUUGGCCCUUUUUGACCCGUUUUGGGGCGAAAACAAAAACUGACUCCCGGGCAUAUUUUUUUCGGCCUUUAUGGGCAGAGAACUUUAAUACCGCUCAGAAUGAGGCCACCCAGUAGUUAGGUGUGAAUUUUCGAGACCUCUGGCACCGUUCUAAGAUGGGUCCUCUCUUCGUAGGCUAAUGCAUUGGCCCUUUUUGACCCGUUUUGGGGCGAAAACAAAAACUGACUCCCGGGCAUAUUUUUUUCGGCCUUUAUGGGCAGAGAACUUUAAUGCCGCUCAGAAUGAGGCCACCCAGUAGUUAGGUGUGAAUUUUCGAGACCUCUGGCACCGUUCUAAGAUGGGUCCUCUCUUCGUAGGCUAAUGCAUUGGCCCUUUUUGACCCGUUUUGGGGCGAAAACAAAAACUGACUCCCGGGCAUAUUUUUUUCGGCCUUUAUGGGCAGAGAACUUUAAUACCGCUCAGAAUGAGGCCACCCAGUAGUUAGGUGUGAAUUUUCGAGACCUCUGGCACCGUUCUAAGAUGGGUCCUCUCUUCGUAGGCUAAUGCAUUGGCCCUUUUUGACCCGUUUUGGGGCGAAAACAAAAACUGACUCCCGGGCAUAUUUUUUUCGGCCUUUAUGGGCAGAGAACUCUUAAUAGCCGCUCAGAAAUGGCCAGGCCACCCAGUAGUUAGGUGUGAAUUUUCGAGACCUCUGGCACCGUUCUAAGAUGGGUCCUCUCUUCGUAGGCUAAUGCAUUGGCCCUUUUUGACCCGUUUUGGGGCGAAAACAAAAACUGACUCCCGGGCAUAUUUUUUUCGGCCUUUAUGGGCAGAGAACUUUAAUGCCGCUCAGAAUGAGGCCACCCAGUAGUUAGGUGUGAAUUUUCGAGACCUCUGGCACCGUUCUAAGAUGGGUCCUCUCUUCGUAGGCUAAUGCAUUGGCCCUUUUUGACCCGUUUUGGGGCGAAAACAAAAACUGACUCCCGGGCAUAUUUUUUUCGGCCUUUAUGGGCAGAGAACUUUAAUGCCGCUCAGAAUGAGGCCACCCAGUAGUUAGGUGUGAAUUUUCGAGACCUUUGGCACCGUUCUAAGAUGGGUCCUCUCUUCGUAGGCUAAUGCAUUGGCCCUUUUUGACCCGUUUUGGGGCGAAAACAAAAACUGACUCCCGGGCAUAUUUUUUUCGGCCUUUAUGGGCAGAGAACUUUAAUGCCGCUCAGAAUGAGGCCACCCAGUAGUUAGGUGUGAAUUUUCGAGACCUCUGGCACCGUUCUAAGAUGGGUCCUCUCUUCGUAGGCUAAUGCAUUGGCCCUUUUUGACCCGUUUUGGGGCGAAAACAAAAACUGACUCCCGGGCAUAUUUUUUUCGGCCUUUAUGGGCAGAGAACUUUAAUACCGCUCAGAAUGAGGCCACCCAGUAGUUAGGUGUGAAUUUUCGAGACCUUUGGCACCGUUCUAAGAUGGGUCCUCUCUUCGUAGGCUAAUGCAUUGGCCCUUUUUGACCCGUUUUGGGGCGAAAACAAAAACUGACUCCCGGGCAUAUUUUUUUCGGCCUUUAUGGGCAGAGAACUUUAAUACCGCUCAGAAUGAGGCCACCCAGUAGUUAGGUGUGAAUUUUCGAGACCUCUGGCACCGUUCUAAGAUGGGUCCUCUCUUCGUAGGCUAAUGCAUUGGCCCUUUUUGACCCGUUUUGGGGCGAAAACAAAAACUGACUCCCGGGCAUAUUUUUUUCGGCCUUUAUGGGCAGAGAACUUUAAUGCCGCUCAGAAUGAGGCCACCCAGUAGUUAGGUGUGAAUUUUCGAGACCUUUGGCCACCGUUCUAAGAUGGGUCCUCUCUUCGUAGGCUAAUGCAUUGGCCCUUUUUGACCCGUUUUGGGGCGAAAACAAAAACUGACUCCCGGGCAUAUUUUUUUCGGCCUUUAUGGGCAGAGAACUUUAAUACCGCUCAGAAUGAGGCCACCCAGUAGUUAGGUGUGAAUUUUCGAGACCUUUGGCACCGUUCUAAGAUGGGUCCUCUCUUCGUAGGCUAAUGCAUUGGCCCUUUUUGACCCGUUUUGGGGCGAAAACAAAAACUGACUCCCGGGCAUAUUUUUUUCGGCCUUUAUGGGCAGAGAACUUUAAUACCGCUCAGAAUGAGGCCACCCAGUAGUUAGGUGUGAAUUUUCGAGACCUUCUGGCACCGUUCUAAGAUGGGUCCUCUCUUCGUAGGCUAAUGCAUUGGCCCUUUUUGACCCGUUUUGGGGCGAAAACAAAAACUGACUCCCGGGCAUAUUUUUUUCGGCCUUUAUGGGCAGAGAACUUUAAUGCCGCUCAGAAUGAGGCCACCCAGUAGUUAGGUGUGAAUUUUCGAGACCUCUGGCACCGUUCUAAGAUGGGUCCUCUCUUCGUAGGCUAAUGCAUUGGCCCUUUUUGACCCGUUUUGGGGCGAAAACAAAAACUGACUCCCGGGCAUAUUUUUUUCGGCCUUUAUGGGCAGAGAACUUUAAUACCGCUCAGAAUGAGGCCACCCAGUAGUUAGGUGUGAAUUUUCGAGACCUUUGGCACCGUUCUAAGAUGGGUCCUCUCUUCGUAGGCUAAUGCAUUGGCCCUUUUUGACCCGUUUUGGGGCGAAAACAAAAACUGACUCCCGGGCAUAUUUUUUUCGGCCUUUAUGGGCAGAGAACUUUAAUGCCGCUCAGAAUGAGGCCACCCAGUAGUUAGGUGUGAAUUUUCGAGACCUUUGGCACCGUUCUAAGAUGGGUCCUCUCUUCGUAGGCUAAUGCAUUGGCCCUUUUUGACCCGUUUUGGGGCGAAAACAAAAACUGACUCCCGGGCAUAUUUUUUUCGGCCUUUAUGGGCAGAGAACUUUAAUACCGCUCAAAAUGAGGCCACCCAGUAGUUAGGUGUGAAUUUUCGAGACCUCUGGCACCGUUCUAAGAUGGGUCCUCUCUUCGUAGGCUAAUGCAUUGGCCCUUUUUGACCCGUUUUGGGGCGAAAACAAAAACUGACUCCCGGGCAUAUUUUUUUCGGCCUUUAUGGGCAGAGAACUUUAAUACCGCUCAAAAUGAGGCCACCCAGUAGUUAGGUGUGAAUUUUCGAGACCUUUGGCACCGUUCUAAGAUGGGUCCUCUCUUCGUAGGCUAAUGCAUUGGCCCUUUUUGACCCGUUUUGGGGCGAAAACAAAAACUGACUCCCGGGCAUAUUUUUUUCGGCCUUUAUGGGCAGAGAACUUUAAUGCCGCUCAGAAUGAGGCCACCCAGUAGUUAGGUGUGAAUUUUCGAGACCUUUGGCACCGUUCUAAGAUGGGUCCUCUCUUCGUAGGCUAAUGCAUUGGCCCUUUUUGACCCGUUUUGGGGCGAAAACAAAAACUGACUCCCGGGCAUAUUUUUUUCGGCCUUUAUGGGCAGAGAACUUUAAUACCGCUCAAAAUGAGGCCACCCAGUAGUUAGGUGUGAAUUUUCGAGACCUUUGGCACCGUUCUAAGAUGGGUCCUCUCUUCGUAGGCUAAUGCAUUGGCCCUUUUUGACCCGUUUUGGGGCGAAAACAAAAACUGACUCCCGGGCAUAUUUUUUUCGGCCUUUAUGGGCAGAGAACUUUAAUACCGCUCAAAAUGAGGCCACCCAGUAGUUAGGUGUGAAUUUUCGAGACCUUUGGCACCGUUCUAAGAUGGGUCCUCUCUUCGUAGGCUAAUGCAUUGGCCCUUUUUGACCCGUUUUGGGGCGAAAACAAAAACUGACUCCCGGGCAUAUUUUUUUCGGCCUUUAUGGGCAGAGAACUUUAAUACCGCUCAAAAUGAGGCCACCCAGUAGUUAGGUGUGAAUUUUCGAGACCUCUGGCACCGUUCUAAGAUGGGUCCUCUCUUCGUAGGCUAAUGCAUUGGCCCUUUUUGACCCGUUUUGGGGCGAAAACAAAAACUGACUCCCGGGCAUAUUUUUUUCGGCCUUUAUGGGCAGAGAACUUUAAUGCCGCUCAAAAUGAGGCCACCCAGUAGUUAGGUGUGAAUUUUCGAGACCUCUGGCACCGUUCUAAGAUGGGUCCUCUCUUCGUAGGCUAAUGCAUUGGCCCUUUUUGACCCGUUUUGGGGCGAAAACAAAAACUGACUCCCGGGCAUAUUUUUUUCGGCCUUUAUGGGCAGAGAACUUUAAUACCGCUCAGAAUGAGGCCACCCAGUAGUUAGGUGUGAAUUUUCGAGACCUUUGGCACCGUUCUAAGAUGGGUCCUCUCUUCGUAGGCUAAUGCAUUGGCCCUUUUUGACCCGUUUUGGGGCGAAAACAAAAACUGACUCCCGGGCAUAUUUUUUUCGGCCUUUAUGGGCAGAGAACUUUAAUACCGCUCAAAAUGAGGCCACCCAGUAGUUAGGUGUGAAUUUUCGAGACCUUUGGCACCGUUCUAAGAUGGGUCCUCUCUUCGUAGGCUAAUGCAUUGGCCCUUUUUGACCCGUUUUGGGGCGAAAACAAAAACUGACUCCCGGGCAUAUUUUUUUCGGCCUUUAUGGGCAGAGAACUUUAAUACCGCUCAAAAUGAGGCCACCCAGUAGUUAGGUGUGAAUUUUCGAGACCUUUGGCACCGUUCUAAGAUGGGUCCUCUCUUCGUAGGCUAAUGCAUUGGCCCUUUUUGACCCGUUUUGGGGCGAAAACAAAAACUGACUCCCGGGCAUAUUUUUUUCGGCCUUUAUGGGCAGAGAACUUUAAUACCGCUCAAAAUGAGGCCACCCAGUAGUUAGGUGUGAAUUUUCGAGACCUUUGGCACCGUUCUAAGAUGGGUCCUCUCUUCGUAGGCUAAUGCAUUGGCCCUUUUUGACCCGUUUUGGGGCGAAAACAAAAACUGACUCCCGGGCAUAUUUUUUUCGGCCUUUAUGGGCAGAGAACUUUAAUACCGCUCAAAAUGAGGCCACCCAGUAGUUAGGUGUGAAUUUUCGAGACCUUUGGCACCGUUCUAAGAUGGGUCCUCUCUUCGUAGGCUAAUGCAUUGGCCCUUUUUGACCCGUUUUGGGGCGAAAACAAAAACUGACUCCCGGGCAUAUUUUUUUCGGCCUUUAUGGGCAGAGAACUUUAAUACCGCUCAAAAUGAGGCCACCCAGUAGUUAGGUGUGAAUUUUCGAGACCUUUGGCACCGUUCUAAGAUGGGUCCUCUCUUCGUAGGCUAAUGCAUUGGCCCUUUUUGACCCGUUUUGGGGCGAAAACAAAAACUGACUCCCGGGCAUAUUUUUUUCGGCCUUUAUGGGCAGAGAACUUUAAUACCGCUCAAAAUGAGGCCACCCAGUAGUUAGGUGUGAAUUUUCGAGACCUUUGGCACCGUUCUAAGAUGGGUCCUCUCUUCGUAGGCUAAUGCAUUGGCCCUUUUUGACCCGUUUUGGGGCGAAAACAAAAACUGACUCCCGGGCAUAUUUUUUUCGGCCUUUAUGGGCAGAGAACUUUAAUACCGCUCAAAAUGAGGCCACCCAGUAGUUAGGUGUGAAUUUUCGAGACCUUUGGCACCGUUCUAAGAUGGGUCCUCUCUUCGUAGGCUAAUGCAUUGGCCCUUUUUGACCCGUUUUGGGGCGAAAACAAAAACUGACUCCCGGGCAUAUUUUUUUCGGCCUUUAUGGGCAGAGAACUUUAAUACCGCUCAAAAUGAGGCCACCCAGUAGUUAGGUGUGAAUUUUCGAGACCUUUGGCACCGUUCUAAGAUGGGUCCUCUCUUCGUAGGCUAAUGCAUUGGCCCUUUUUGACCCGUUUUGGGGCGAAAACAAAAACUGACUCCCGGGCAUAUUUUUUUCGGCCUUUAUGGGCAGAGAACUUUAAUACCGCUCAAAAUGAGGCCACCCAGUAGUUAGGUGUGAAUUUUCGAGACCUUUGGCACCGUUCUAAGAUGGGUCCUCUCUUCGUAGGCUAAUGCAUUGGCCCUUUUUGACCCGUUUUGGGGCGAAAACAAAAACUGACUCCCGGGCAUAUUUUUUUCGGCCUUUAUGGGCAGAGAACUUUAAUACCGCUCAAAAUGAGGCCACCCAGUAGUUAGGUGUGAAUUUUCGAGACCUUUGGCACCGUUCUAAGAUGGGUCCUCUCUUCGUAGGCUAAUGCAUUGGCCCUUUUUGACCCGUUUUGGGGCGAAAACAAAAACUGACUCCCGGGCAUAUUUUUUUCGGCCUUUAUGGGCAGAGAACUUUAAUACCGCUCAAAAUGAGGCCACCCAGUAGUUAGGUGUGAAUUUUCGAGACCUUUGGCACCGUUCUAAGAUGGGUCCUCUCUUCGUAGGCUAAUGCAUUGGCCCUUUUUGACCCGUUUUGGGGCGAAAACAAAAACUGACUCCCGGGCAUAUUUUUUUCGGCCUUUAUGGGCAGAGAACUUUAAUACCGCUCAAAAUGAGGCCACCCAGUAGUUAGGUGUGAAUUUUCGAGACCUUUGGCACCGUUCUAAGAUGGGUCCUCUCUUCGUAGGCUAAUGCAUUGGCCCUUUUUGACCCGUUUUGGGGCGAAAACAAAAACUGACUCCCGGGCAUAUUUUUUUCGGCCUUUAUGGGCAGAGAACUUUAAUACCGCUCAAAAUGAGGCCACCCAGUAGUUAGGUGUGAAUUUUCGAGACCUUUGGCACCGUUCUAAGAUGGGUCCUCUCUUCGUAGGCUAAUGCAUUGGCCCUUUUUGACCCGUUUUGGGGCGAAAACAAAAACUGACUCCCGGGCAUAUUUUUUUCGGCCUUUAUGGGCAGAGAACUUUAAUACCGCUCAAAAUGAGGCCACCCAGUAGUUAGGUGUGAAUUUUCGAGACCUUUGGCACCGUUCUAAGAUGGGUCCUCUCUUCGUAGGCUAAUGCAUUGGCCCUUUUUGACCCGUUUUGGGGCGAAAACAAAAACUGACUCCCGGGCAUAUUUUUUUCGGCCUUUAUGGGCAGAGAACUUUAAUACCGCUCAAAAUGAGGCCACCCAGUAGUUAGGUGUGAAUUUUCGAGACCUUUGGCACCGUUCUAAGAUGGGUCCUCUCUUCGUAGGCUAAUGCAUUGGCCCUUUUUGACCCGUUUUGGGGCGAAAACAAAAACUGACUCCCGGGCAUAUUUUUUUCGGCCUUUAUGGGCAGAGAACUUUAAUACCGCUCAAAAUGAGGCCACCCAGUAGUUAGGUGUGAAUUUUCGAGACCUUUGGCACCGUUCUAAGAUGGGUCCUCUCUUCGUAGGCUAAUGCAUUGGCCCUUUUUGACCCGUUUUGGGGCGAAAACAAAAACUGACUCCCGGGCAUAUUUUUUUCGGCCUUUAUGGGCAGAGAACUUUAAUACCGCUCAAAAUGAGGCCACCCAGUAGUUAGGUGUGAAUUUUCGAGACCUUUGGCACCGUUCUAAGAUGGGUCCUCUCUUCGUAGGCUAAUGCAUUGGCCCUUUUUGACCCGUUUUGGGGCGAAAACAAAAACUGACUCCCGGGCAUAUUUUUUUCGGCCUUUAUGGGCAGAGAACUUUAAUACCGCUCAAAAUGAGGCCACCCAGUAGUUAGGUGUGAAUUUUCGAGACCUUUGGCACCGUUCUAAGAUGGGUCCUCUCUUCGUAGGCUAAUGCAUUGGCCCUUUUUGACCCGUUUUGGGGCGAAAACAAAAACUGACUCCCGGGCAUAUUUUUUUCGGCCUUUAUGGGCAGAGAACUUUAAUACCGCUCAAAAUGAGGCCACCCAGUAGUUAGGUGUGAAUUUUCGAGACCUUUGGCACCGUUCUAAGAUGGGUCCUCUCUUCGUAGGCUAAUGCAUUGGCCCUUUUUGACCCGUUUUGGGGCGAAAACAAAAACUGACUCCCGGGCAUAUUUUUUUCGGCCUUUAUGGGCAGAGAACUUUAAUACCGCUCAAAAUGAGGCCACCCAGUAGUUAGGUGUGAAUUUUCGAGACCUUUGGCACCGUUCUAAGAUGGGUCCUCUCUUCGUAGGCUAAUGCAUUGGCCCUUUUUGACCCGUUUUGGGGCGAAAACAAAAACUGACUCCCGGGCAUAUUUUUUUCGGCCUUUAUGGGCAGAGAACUUUAAUACCGCUCAAAAUGAGGCCACCCAGUAGUUAGGUGUGAAUUUUCGAGACCUUUGGCACCGUUCUAAGAUGGGUCCUCUCUUCGUAGGCUAAUGCAUUGGCCCUUUUUGACCCGUUUUGGGGCGAAAACAAAAACUGACUCCCGGGCAUAUUUUUUUCGGCCUUUAUGGGCAGAGAACUUUAAUACCGCUCAAAAUGAGGCCACCCAGUAGUUAGGUGUGAAUUUUCGAGACCUUUGGCACCGUUCUAAGAUGGGUCCUCUCUUCGUAGGCUAAUGCAUUGGCCCUUUUUGACCCGUUUUGGGGCGAAAACAAAAACUGACUCCCGGGCAUAUUUUUUUCGGCCUUUAUGGGCAGAGAACUUUAAUACCGCUCAAAAUGAGGCCACCCAGUAGUUAGGUGUGAAUUUUCGAGACCUUUGGCACCGUUCUAAGAUGGGUCCUCUCUUCGUAGGCUAAUGCAUUGGCCCUUUUUGACCCGUUUUGGGGCGAAAACAAAAACUGACUCCCGGGCAUAUUUUUUUCGGCCUUUAUGGGCAGAGAACUUUAAUACCGCUCAAAAUGAGGCCACCCAGUAGUUAGGUGUGAAUUUUCGAGACCUUUGGCACCGUUCUAAGAUGGGUCCUCUCUUCGUAGGCUAAUGCAUUGGCCCUUUUUGACCCGUUUUGGGGCGAAAACAAAAACUGACUCCCGGGCAUAUUUUUUUCGGCCUUUAUGGGCAGAGAACUUUAAUACCGCUCAAAAUGAGGCCACCCAGUAGUUAGGUGUGAAUUUUCGAGACCUUUGGCACCGUUCUAAGAUGGGUCCUCUCUUCGUAGGCUAAUGCAUUGGCCCUUUUUGACCCGUUUUGGGGCGAAAACAAAAACUGACUCCCGGGCAUAUUUUUUUCGGCCUUUAUGGGCAGAGAACUUUAAUACCGCUCAAAAUGAGGCCACCCAGUAGUUAGGUGUGAAUUUUCGAGACCUUUGGCACCGUUCUAAGAUGGGUCCUCUCUUCGUAGGCUAAUGCAUUGGCCCUUUUUGACCCGUUUUGGGGCGAAAACAAAAACUGACUCCCGGGCAUAUUUUUUUCGGCCUUUAUGGGCAGAGAACUUUAAUACCGCUCAAAAUGAGGCCACCCAGUAGUUAGGUGUGAAUUUUCGAGACCUUUGGCACCGUUCUAAGAUGGGUCCUCUCUUCGUAGGCUAAUGCAUUGGCCCUUUUUGACCCGUUUUGGGGCGAAAACAAAAACUGACUCCCGGGCAUAUUUUUUUCGGCCUUUAUGGGCAGAGAACUUUAAUACCGCUCAAAAUGAGGCCACCCAGUAGUUAGGUGUGAAUUUUCGAGACCUUUGGCACCGUUCUAAGAUGGGUCCUCUCUUCGUAGGCUAAUGCAUUGGCCCUUUUUGACCCGUUUUGGGGCGAAAACAAAAACUGACUCCCGGGCAUAUUUUUUUCGGCCUUUAUGGGCAGAGAACUUUAAUACCGCUCAAAAUGAGGCCACCCAGUAGUUAGGUGUGAAUUUUCGAGACCUUUGGCACCGUUCUAAGAUGGGUCCUCUCUUCGUAGGCUAAUGCAUUGGCCCUUUUUGACCCGUUUUGGGGCGAAAACAAAAACUGACUCCCGGGCAUAUUUUUUUCGGCCUUUAUGGGCAGAGAACUUUAAUACCGCUCAAAAUGAGGCCACCCAGUAGUUAGGUGUGAAUUUUCGAGACCUUUGGCACCGUUCUAAGAUGGGUCCUCUCUUCGUAGGCUAAUGCAUUGGCCCUUUUUGACCCGUUUUGGGGCGAAAACAAAAACUGACUCCCGGGCAUAUUUUUUUCGGCCUUUAUGGGCAGAGAACUUUAAUACCGCUCAAAAUGAGGCCACCCAGUAGUUAGGUGUGAAUUUUCGAGACCUUUGGCACCGUUCUAAGAUGGGUCCUCUCUUCGUAGGCUAAUGCAUUGGCCCUUUUUGACCCGUUUUGGGGCGAAAACAAAAACUGACUCCCGGGCAUAUUUUUUUCGGCCUUUAUGGGCAGAGAACUUUAAUACCGCUCAAAAUGAGGCCACCCAGUAGUUAGGUGUGAAUUUUCGAGACCUUUGGCACCGUUCUAAGAUGGGUCCUCUCUUCGUAGGCUAAUGCAUUGGCCCUUUUUGACCCGUUUUGGGGCGAAAACAAAAACUGACUCCCGGGCAUAUUUUUUUCGGCCUUUAUGGGCAGAGAACUUUAAUACCGCUCAAAAUGAGGCCACCCAGUAGUUAGGUGUGAAUUUUCGAGACCUUUGGCACCGUUCUAAGAUGGGUCCUCUCUUCGUAGGCUAAUGCAUUGGCCCUUUUUGACCCGUUUUGGGGCGAAAACAAAAACUGACUCCCGGGCAUAUUUUUUUCGGCCUUUAUGGGCAGAGAACUUUAAUACCGCUCAAAAUGAGGCCACCCAGUAGUUAGGUGUGAAUUUUCGAGACCUCUUGGCACCGUUCUAAGAUGGGUCCUCUCUUCGUAGGCUAAUGCAUUGGCCCUUUUUGACCCGUUUUGGGGCGAAAACAAAAACUGACUCCCGGGCAUAUUUUUUUCGGCCUUUAUGGGCAGAGAACUUUAAUACCGCUCAAAAUGAGGCCACCCAGUAGUUAGGUGUGAAUUUUCGAGACCUCUGGCACCGUUCUAAGAUGGGUCCUCUCUUCGUAGGCUAAUGCAUUGGCCCUUUUUGACCCGUUUUGGGGCGAAAACAAAAACUGACUCCCGGGCAUAUUUUUUUCGGCCUUUAUGGGCAGAGAACUUUAAUGCCGCUCAAAAUGAGGCCACCCAGUAGUUAGGUGUGAAUUUUCGAGACCUCUGGCACCGUUCUAAGAUGGGUCCUCUCUUCGUAGGCUAAUGCAUUGGCCCUUUUUGACCCGUUUUGGGGCGAAAACAAAAACUGACUCCCGGGCAUAUUUUUUUCGGCCUUUAUGGGCAGAGAACUUUAAUACCGCUCAGAAUGAGGCCACCCAGUAGUUAGGUGUGAAUUUUCGAGACCUUCUGGCACCGUUCUAAGAUGGGUCCUCUCUUCGUAGGCUAAUGCAUUGGCCCUUUUUGACCCGUUUUGGGGCGAAAACAAAAACUGACUCCCGGGCAUAUUUUUUUCGGCCUUUAUGGGCAGAGAACUUUAAUACCGCUCAGAAUGAGGCCACCCAGUAGUUAGGUGUGAAUUUUCGAGACCUCUGGCACCGUUCUAAGAUGGGUCCUCUCUUCGUAGGCUAAUGCAUUGGCCCUUUUUGACCCGUUUUGGGGCGAAAACAAAAACUGACUCCCGGGCAUAUUUUUUUCGGCCUUUAUGGGCAGAGAACUUUAAUACCGCUCAGAAUGAGGCCACCCAGUAGUUAGGUGUGAAUUUUCGAGACCUUUGGCACCGUUCUAAGAUGGGUCCUCUCUUCGUAGGCUAAUGCAUUGGCCCUUUUUGACCCGUUUUGGGGCGAAAACAAAAACUGACUCCCGGGCAUAUUUUUUUCGGCCUUUAUGGGCAGAGAACUUUAAUGCCGCUCAGAAUGAGGCCACCCAGUAGUUAGGUGUGAAUUUUCGAGACCUUUGGCACCGUUCUAAGAUGGGUCCUCUCUUCGUAGGCUAAUGCAUUGGCCCUUUUUGACCCGUUUUGGGGCGAAAACAAAAACUGACUCCCGGGCAUAUUUUUUUCGGCCUUUAUGGGCAGAGAACUUUAAUGCCGCUCAGAAUGAGGCCACCCAGUAGUUAGGUGUGAAUUUUCGAGACCUCUGGCACCGUUCUAAGAUGGGUCCUCUCUUCGUAGGCUAAUGCAUUGGCCCUUUUUGACCCGUUUUGGGGCGAAAACAAAAACUGACUCCCGGGCAUAUUUUUUUCGGCCUUUAUGGGCAGAGAACUUUAAUACCGCUCAAAAUGAGGCCACCCAGUAGUUAGGUGUGAAUUUUCGAGACCUUUGGCACCGUUCUAAGAUGGGUCCUCUCUUCGUAGGCUAAUGCAUUGGCCCUUUUUGACCCGUUUUGGGGCGAAAACAAAAACUGACUCCCGGGCAUAUUUUUUUCGGCCUUUAUGGGCAGAGAACUUUAAUACCGCUCAAAAUGAGGCCACCCAGUAGUUAGGUGUGAAUUUUCGAGACCUCUGGCACCGUUCUAAGAUGGGUCCUCUCUUCGUAGGCUAAUGCAUUGGCCCUUUUUGACCCGUUUUGGGGCGAAAACAAAAACUGACUCCCGGGCAUAUUUUUUUCGGCCUUUAUGGGCAGAGAACUUUAAUACCGCUCAAAAUGAGGCCACCCAGUAGUUAGGUGUGAAUUUUCGAGACCUUUGGCACCGUUCUAAGAUGGGUCCUCUCUUCGUAGGCUAAUGCAUUGGCCCUUUUUGACCCGUUUUGGGGCGAAAACAAAAACUGACUCCCGGGCAUAUUUUUUUCGGCCUUUAUGGGCAGAGAACUUUAAUACCGCUCAGAAUGAGGCCACCCAGUAGUUAGGUGUGAAUUUUCGAGACCUUUGGCACCGUUCUAAGAUGGGUCCUCUCUUCGUAGGCUAAUGCAUUGGCCCUUUUUGACCCGUUUUGGGGCGAAAACAAAAACUGACUCCCGGGCAUAUUUUUUUCGGCCUUUAUGGGCAGAGAACUUUAAUACGCCGCUCAGAAUGAGGCCACCCAGUAGUUAGGUGUGAAUUUUCGAGACCUUUGGCACCGUUCUAAGAUGGGUCCUCUCUUCGUAGGCUAAUGCAUUGGCCCUUUUUGACCCGUUUUGGGGCGAAAACAAAAACUGACUCCCGGGCAUAUUUUUUUCGGCCUUUAUGGGCAGAGAACUUUAAUACCGCUCAGAAUGAGGCCACCCAGUAGUUAGGUGUGAAUUUUCGAGACCUUUGGCACCGUUCUAAGAUGGGUCCUCUCUUCGUAGGCUAAUGCAUUGGCCCUUUUUGACCCGUUUUGGGGCGAAAACAAAAACUGACUCCCGGGCAUAUUUUUUUCGGCCUUUAUGGGCAGAGAACUUUAAUACCGCUCAGAAUGAGGCCACCCAGUAGUUAGGUGUGAAUUUUCGAGACCUUUGGCACCGUUCUAAGAUGGGUCCUCUCUUCGUAGGCUAAUGCAUUGGCCCUUUUUGACCCGUUUUGGGGCGAAAACAAAAACUGACUCCCGGGCAUAUUUUUUUCGGCCUUUAUGGGCAGAGAACUUUAAUACCGCUCAAAAUGAGGCCACCCAGUAGUUAGGUGUGAAUUUUCGAGACCUUCUGGCACCGUUCUAAGAUGGGUCCUCUCUUCGUAGGCUAAUGCAUUGGCCCUUUUUGACCCGUUUUGGGGCGAAAACAAAAACUGACUCCCGGGCAUAUUUUUUUCGGCCUUUAUGGGCAGAGAACUUUAAUACCGCUCAAAAUGAGGCCACCCAGUAGUUAGGUGUGAAUUUUCGAGACCUCUGGCACCGUUCUAAGAUGGGUCCUCUCUUCGUAGGCUAAUGCAUUGGCCCUUUUUGACCCGUUUUGGGGCGAAAACAAAAACUGACUCCCGGGCAUAUUUUUUUCGGCCUUUAUGGGCAGAGAACUUUAAUACCCGCUCAGAAUGAGGCCACCCAGUAGUUAGGUGUGAAUUUUCGAGACCUUCUGGCACCGUUCUAAGAUGGGUCCUCUCUUCGUAGGCUAAUGCAUUGGCCCUUUUUGACCCGUUUUGGGGCGAAAACAAAAACUGACUCCCGGGCAUAUUUUUUUCGGCCUUUAUGGGCAGAGAACUUUAAUACCGCUCAAAAUGAGGCCACCCAGUAGUUAGGUGUGAAUUUUCGAGACCUCUGGCACCGUUCUAAGAUGGGUCCUCUCUUCGUAGGCUAAUGCAUUGGCCCUUUUUGACCCGUUUUGGGGCGAAAACAAAAACUGACUCCCGGGCAUAUUUUUUUCGGCCUUUAUGGGCAGAGAACUUUAAUACCGCUCAAAAUGAGGCCACCCAGUAGUUAGGUGUGAAUUUUCGAGACCUUUGGCACCGUUCUAAGAUGGGUCCUCUCUUCGUAGGCUAAUGCAUUGGCCCUUUUUGACCCGUUUUGGGGCGAAAACAAAAACUGACUCCCGGGCAUAUUUUUUUCGGCCUUUAUGGGCAGAGAACUUUAAUGCCGCUCAGAAUGAGGCCACCCAGUAGUUAGGUGUGAAUUUUCGAGACCUUUGGCACCGUUCUAAGAUGGGUCCUCUCUUCGUAGGCUAAUGCAUUGGCCCUUUUUGACCCGUUUUGGGGCGAAAACAAAAACUGACUCCCGGGCAUAUUUUUUUCGGCCUUUAUGGGCAGAGAACUUUAAUGCCGCUCAAAAUGAGGCCACCCAGUAGUUAGGUGUGAAUUUUCGAGACCUUUGGCACCGUUCUAAGAUGGGUCCUCUCUUCGUAGGCUAAUGCAUUGGCCCUUUUUGACCCGUUUUGGGGCGAAAACAAAAACUGACUCCCGGGCAUAUUUUUUUCGGCCUUUAUGGGCAGAGAACUUUAAUACCGCUCAAAAUGAGGCCACCCAGUAGUUAGGUGUGAAUUUUCGAGACCUUUGGCACCGUUCUAAGAUGGGUCCUCUCUUCGUAGGCUAAUGCAUUGGCCCUUUUUGACCCGUUUUGGGGCGAAAACAAAAACUGACUCCCGGGCAUAUUUUUUUCGGCCUUUAUGGGCAGAGAACUUUAAUGCCGCUCAAAAUGAGGCCACCCAGUAGUUAGGUGUGAAUUUUCGAGACCUUUGGCACCGUUCUAAGAUGGGUCCUCUCUUCGUAGGCUAAUGCAUUGGCCCUUUUUGACCCGUUUUGGGGCGAAAACAAAAACUGACUCCCGGGCAUAUUUUUUUCGGCCUUUAUGGGCAGAGAACUUUAAUACCCGCUCAGAAUGAGGCCACCCAGUAGUUAGGUGUGAAUUUUCGAGACCUUUGGCACCGUUCUAAGAUGGGUCCUCUCUUCGUAGGCUAAUGCAUUGGCCCUUUUUGACCCGUUUUGGGGCGAAAACAAAAACUGACUCCCGGGCAUAUUUUUUUCGGCCUUUAUGGGCAGAGAACUUUAAUACCGCUCAGAAAUGAGGCCACCCAGUAGUUAGGUGUGAAUUUUCGAGACCUUUGGCACCGUUCUAAGAUGGGUCCUCUCUUCGUAGGCUAAUGCAUUGGCCCUUUUUGACCCGUUUUGGGGCGAAAACAAAAACUGACUCCCGGGCAUAUUUUUUUCGGCCUUUAUGGGCAGAGAACUUUAAUACCGCUCAGAAAUGAGGCCACCCAGUAGUUAGGUGGGAAUUUUCGAGACCUUUGGCACCGUUCUAAGAUGGGUCCUCUCUUCGUAGGCUAAUGCAUUGGCCCUUUUUGACCCGUUUUGGGGCGAAAACAAAAACUGACUCCCGGGCAUAUUUUUUUCGGCCUUUAUGGGCAGAGAACUUUAACACCGCUCAAAAUGAGGCCACCCAGUAGUUAGGUGUGAAUUUUCGAGACCUUUGGCACCGUUCUAAGAUGGGUCCUCUCUUCGUAGGCUAAUGCAUUGGCCCUUUUUGACCCGUUUUGGGGCGAAAACAAAAACUGACUCCCGGGCAUAUUUUUUUCGGCCUUUAUGGGCAGAGAACUUUAAUACCGCUCAAAAUGAGGCCACCCAGUAGUUAGGUGUGAAUUUUCGAGACCUUUGGCACCGUUCUAAGAUGGGUCCUCUCUUCGUAGGCUAAUGCAUUGGCCCUUUUUGACCCGUUUUGGGGCGAAAACAAAAACUGACUCCCGGGCAUAUUUUUUUCGGCCUUUAUGGGCAGAGAACUUUAACACCGCUCAAAAUGAGGCCACCCAGUAGUUAGGUGGGAAUUUUCGAGACCUUUGGCACCGUUCUAAGAUGGGUCCUCUCUUCGUAGGCUAAUGCAUUGGCCCUUUUUGACCCGUUUUGGGGCGAAAACAAAAACUGACUCCCGGGCAUAUUUUUUUUCGGCCUUUAUGGGCAGAGAACUUUAACACCGCUCAAAAUGAGGCCACCCAGUAGUUAGGUGGGAAUUUUCGAGACCUUUGGCACCGUUCUAAGAUGGGUCCUCUCUUCGUAGGCUAAUGCAUUGGCCCUUUUUGACCCGUUUUGGGGCGAAAACAAAAACUGACUCCCGGGCAUAUUUUUC
RNAcentral lists this long non-coding RNA (32338 nucleotides) under Cucumis sativus (cucumber). RNAcentral's name for it is "long non-coding RNA (CSAT_LNC001527)". Lineage: Eukaryota; Viridiplantae; Streptophyta; Magnoliopsida; Cucurbitales; Cucurbitaceae. The record is from RNAcentral.